Molecule: ribosomal RNA, 465 nt
Filed under: uncultured soil bacterium
Lineage: Bacteria
Description: bacterial SSU rRNA
Rfam family: Bacterial small subunit ribosomal RNA
Source: RNAcentral
AGAUUGAACGCUGGCGGCAGGCCUAACACAUGCAAGUCGAGCGGCAGCACGGGUACUUGUACCUGGUGGCGAGCGGCGGACGGGUGAGUAAUGCCUAGGAAUCUGCCUGGUAGUGGGGGGAUAACGCUCGGAAACGGACGCUAAUACCGCAUACGUCCUACGGGAGAAAGCAGGGGACCUUCGGGCCUUGCGCUAUCAGAUGAGCCUAGGUCGGAUUAGCUAGUUGGUGAGGUAAUGGCUCACCAAGGCACGAUCCGUAACUGGUCUGAGAGGAUGAUCAGUCACACUGGAACUGAGACACGGUCCAGACCUCCGUACGGGAGGCAGCAGGUGGGGAAUAUUGGGACAAGUGGGACGAAGCCUGAUCCAGCCAUCGCCGCGUGUGUGAAGUAGGUCUUCGGAUUGAAAGUCUACGUUAAGUGGAAGGUAAGGCUAGUUACUAAUACGUAUCUUGUUUGACGUUAC